CCUACGGGGGGCAGCAGUGAGGAAUAUUGGUCAAUGGCCGGAAGGCUGAACCAGCCAUGCCGCGUGAAGGUCAGUGCCCUAUGGGCGUUAAACUUCUUUUGUGCGGGAGCAAUAAUGGUCACGUGUGGCCAGACGAGAGUACCGUACGAAUAAGCAUCGGCUAACUCCGUGCCAGCAGCCGCGGUAAUACGGGGGAUGCAAGCGGUAUCCGGAUUUAUUGGGUUUAAAGGGUGCGUAGGCUGUGAGGUAAGUCAGCGGUGAAAUGCCCCCGCUCAACGGGGUGAAGUGCCAUUGAUACUGGCUGGCUGGAGUGCGGAUGCCGUGGGAAGAAUGUGUGGUGUAGCGGUGAAAUGCAUAGAUAUCACACAGAACACCGAUUGCGAAGGCAUCUCACGAAUCCGCGAUUGACGCUGAUGCACGAAAGCGUGGGUAUCAAACAGGAUUAGAUACCCUUGUAGUC
RNAcentral lists this ribosomal RNA (460 nucleotides) under uncultured bacterium. Its description in RNAcentral is "partial 16S ribosomal RNA". It matches the Rfam family "Bacterial small subunit ribosomal RNA", at positions 338 to 795 of the family's 1533-position model. The record is from RNAcentral.